Molecule: ribosomal RNA, 86 nt
Filed under: Xenorhabdus nematophila
Lineage: Bacteria; Pseudomonadati; Pseudomonadota; Gammaproteobacteria; Enterobacterales; Morganellaceae
Description: partial 23S ribosomal RNA
Source: RNAcentral
AGGCCGGGUGUGUAAGCGUAGCGAUACGUUGAGCUGACCGGUACUAAUGAACCGUGCGGCUUAACCUGACAACACCGAAGGUGUUU